RNAcentral lists this ribosomal RNA (310 nucleotides) under uncultured bacterium. RNAcentral describes it as "partial 16S ribosomal RNA". It matches the Rfam family "Bacterial small subunit ribosomal RNA", at positions 503 to 808 of the family's 1533-position model. The record is from RNAcentral.
AAGUGACAGCAGCCGCCGCGGGAAUACAUAGGUCCCGAGCGUUGUCCGGAUUUAUUGGGCGUAAAGCGAGCGCAGGCGGUUAGAUAAGUCCGAAGUUAAAGGCUGUGGCUUAACCAUAGUACGCUUUGGAAACUGUUUAACUUGAGUGCAAGAGGGGAGAGUGGAAUUCCAUGUGUAGCGGUGAAAUGCGUAGAUAUAUGGAGGAACACCGGUGGCGAAAGCGGCUCUCUGGCUUGUAACUGACGCUGAGGCUCGAAAGCGUGGGGAGCAAACAGGAUUAGAUACCCCCGUAGUCCCUGUCUCUUAUACA